This 250-nucleotide ribosomal RNA is filed under the name uncultured bacterium. Its description in RNAcentral is "partial 16S ribosomal RNA". It matches the Rfam family "Bacterial small subunit ribosomal RNA", at positions 524 to 773 of the family's 1533-position model. The record is from RNAcentral.
AACGUAGAAGACAAGCGUUAUCCGGAGUUACUGGGCGUAAAGGGCGUGCAGGCGGCCUCUUAAGUCUGUUGUGAAAGCGCCUGGCUUAACCGGGCGAGGCCAAUGGAGACUGGGAGGCUGGAGGACGGCGGAGGGGUGUGGAAUUCCGGGUGUAGUGGUGAAAUGCGUAGAGAUCCGGAGGAACACCAGAGGCGAAGGCGGCACCCUAAGCCGUACCUGACGCUGAGACGCGACAGCACGGGGAGCAAAC